UGCCUGAAAUACGGAUCCACGCGGAUCAAAUGCGGAUCGGGCUGAAAUGCGGAUCAACGCGGAACGCUCGCGGAUCUCUAUUGAAACUUGACUGAUCUGUCUGAAAGAAUGAUAUCUAUGCAUCAGGAGGGAAUUUUUAUUAGCUCUAUUUAAGUUUUUGAUAAGAACUUCAUCAUUUUAGCAGUUUCAGAACAGUAUCUACUUGAGCUGACCAUAACUUCAAGAUUUAUGUGUGAAUGUGAUUCAGAACAAUAACAUCUUAUAAUGGAUCCUUUAAGAAAUAAUUAUAAUAAAUUCAUAAGUUUUUAAUGACACAGUGAUAUUAUAGCUUUAA
This 334-nucleotide long non-coding RNA is filed under the name Amphimedon queenslandica. RNAcentral's name for it is "uncharacterized LOC109586194". Lineage: Eukaryota; Metazoa; Porifera; Demospongiae; Haplosclerida; Niphatidae. The record is from RNAcentral.